AGAACGAACGCUGGCGGCGCGCUUAACACAUGCAAGUCGAACGCUCCGGUUUCGGCCGGGGAGUGGCGGACGGGUGAGUAACGCGUGGGAACCUGCCUCUUGGUUCGGGAUAACCGCGGGAAACCGCGGCUAAUACCGAAUAUUCCCGUGAGGGGAAAGACUUGUCGCCGAGAGAUGGGCCCGCGUCGGAUUAGCUAGUCGGUGGGGUAACGGCUUACCGAGGCUACGAUCCGUAGCUGGUCUGAGAGGAUGGCCAGCCACACUGGGACUGAGACACGGCCCAGACUCCUACGGGAGGCAGCAGUGGGGAAUAUUGCACAAUGGGCGAAAGCCUGAUGCAGCGACGCCGCGUGAGGGAUGAAGGCCUUCGGGUCGUAAACCUCUUUCGUCAUCGACGAAGCCCGUUCGGGUGACGGUAGGUGGAGAAGAAGCACCGGCCAACUACGUGCCAGCACGCCGC
Molecule: ribosomal RNA, 460 nt
Filed under: uncultured bacterium
Lineage: Bacteria
Description: SSU rRNA
Rfam family: Bacterial small subunit ribosomal RNA
Source: RNAcentral